Molecule: non-coding RNA, 226 nt
Filed under: Phaseolus vulgaris (common bean)
Lineage: Eukaryota; Viridiplantae; Streptophyta; Magnoliopsida; Fabales; Fabaceae
Source: RNAcentral
NNGCUAGGUAACGAUAGCUUGUGACCCGAGUGGGGGCAGUAAAGUGAAGGAAGAAGCAAUGUGGAGUAAGAAGAAGAUGAGGCCUUAUUAAUGUUUCUUCUCUUUGAUAUAAUAGACAUAAGAAGUGUGCACCUGUAAUACGAAAAUCGCACAUUCCACAACGUAGAGGAAAUGUUGCACUAGCUUCUUCUCCUCAAUAGUAAUACCUGCUUCAACCGUCACCUUU